GCCAAUGUAGCUCAGUGGUAGAGCAGCCGAUUCGUAAUCGGCAGGUCGUCAGUUCGAAUCUGACCAUUGGCUCCA
This 75-nucleotide transfer RNA is filed under the name Trueperaceae bacterium. RNAcentral's name for it is "tRNA-Thr". It matches the Rfam family "tRNA". From Rfam's summary of the family: Transfer RNA (tRNA) molecules are approximately 80 nucleotides in length. Their secondary structure includes four short double-helical elements and three loops (D, anti-codon, and T loops). Lineage: Bacteria; Thermotogati; Deinococcota; Deinococci; Trueperales; Trueperaceae. The record is from RNAcentral. RNAcentral also lists the same sequence under 1 other name.